Molecule: long non-coding RNA, 848 nt
Filed under: Spirodela polyrhiza (greater duckweed)
Lineage: Eukaryota; Viridiplantae; Streptophyta; Magnoliopsida; Alismatales; Araceae
Description: long non-coding RNA (SPOL_LNC000117)
Source: RNAcentral
UCCCACUCAUCCGAGUUGUAGUGGGGCAGCGCCGGGUGGGUGUGCUGCAGGUAGGUGAUGAGCACCAGGAACCCGUUCACCACCAGCAGCGGCACGCCGUAGAGGGAGACGACGGCGGCGAGGGAGUAGGCGGCGGCGCAGCGGUAGACGAGGAAUGCGGCGGCGAGGAUGCCGGCGUCGGAGACGAAGAUCUGGAGGCGCUCGCGGUCGGAGUAGAUGGGGCCGUAGGGGUCGAAGUGGCAGGCGAAGGAGUCGUAGGGGCGGCCGGAGACGUUGAAGGCGAGGUAGAGGGGCCAGCCGAUGGUGAGGGAGACGAAGAGGGUGAGGAAGCGGCCGGGGGGUUGUUGAGGUACUUGGAGAACCAGGCGAGCUGGGACUUGGGCUUGGGGACGAAGACCUCGUCGCGUUCGAGGCUGCCGGUGUUGGAGUGGUGGCGCCGGUGGCUGUACUUCCAGGAGAAGUAGGGGACGAAGAGCGCCGAGUGGAGGACAAGCCCGACGAUGUCGUCGACGAGGGAGUAGUCGGAGAAGGCGUGGUGGCCGCACUCGUGGGCGAUGACCCAGAUCCCGGUCAUCACGCAGCCCUGCACCGCCCAGUAGAGCGGCCACGCGAGGAGCCGCAGAGGAGCGGGGAGGAGCGGGAGGUAGGCGAUGGCGAGGUAGAGCAGGACGGAGACGAUGGCGAGGUCCUGGAAGACGAAGGAGAAGGAGCGCACCAGGGAGCGGUUGAAGCAGUGCGGGGGGAUGGCCUUCUUGAUCUCGCCCAGGGUGAAGGGCGGCUUGGCGGUGGGCACGCGGCGGAGAGGGUCCCUGUUGCUGUUCUGGGCAGUGAAGUCUCGGCCCUCCACG